GAUGACGCUUGCCGCAUGCUCUACCACUUCAAGUUGGACGGGAAGUGGUGUUUCCAGUGGCGAAUGGGUGAGUAACGCGUAAGAACCUGCCCUUGGGCGGGGAACAACAACUGGAAACGGUUGCUAAUACCCCGUAGGCUGAGGAGCAAAAGGAGGAAUCCGCCCAAGGAGGGGCUCGCGUCUGAUUAGCUAGUUGGAGAGGUAAUAGCUUACCAAGGCGAUGAUCAGUAGCUGGUACGAGAGGAUGAUCAGCCACACUGGGACUGAGACACGGCCCAGACUCCUACGGGAGGCAGCAGUGAGGAAUUUUCCGCAAUGGGCGAAAGCCUGACGGAGCAAUGCGGCGUGGAGGUGGAAGGCCUACGGGUCGUCAAUUUCUUUUCUCGGAGAAGAAACAAUGACGGUAUCUGAGGAAUAAGCAUCGGCUAACUCUGUG
This 436-nucleotide ribosomal RNA is filed under the name uncultured bacterium. RNAcentral describes it as "partial 16S ribosomal RNA". It matches the Rfam family "Bacterial small subunit ribosomal RNA", at positions 33 to 507 of the family's 1533-position model. The record is from RNAcentral.